Molecule: small nucleolar RNA, 109 nt
Organism: Rhododendron vialii
Lineage: Eukaryota; Viridiplantae; Streptophyta; Magnoliopsida; Ericales; Ericaceae
Product: small nucleolar RNA snoR100
Exons: 1
Source: RefSeq, a predicted model, not a curated record
CAAUGAAGAAAGUAUGGUAAUGUGCACAUAAAUUGAUUUGGGGUCUCUAGAUCUGUCCUCUCUGAUGCCAUUUGGUUUUGAUUUGAGGGCAAGGUUUUACAACAAAACG